GGACCAGCGGGGCUGGGGAAGGGGACCAGCAUUUGCUGAUCACCUACUGGGUGCUUAACACUCUGCGAAGGACCCUCUGAGGAGGGGGUUGCUAGCAUGCGAAUCUCUGUGUAGACCAGGAGAGGGCUCUUGCGGUGGGGAACUUUGAGUGGCCCUCUCUGGAUGUCUGGGAGCUCCGAGGGUCCCCCUUGUAGCCUGUAUCCCCCAAGGUGAAGGGGCCGCUGGACAAAGACCUGACGGAGUGGGAGGGGCCUGCUGGCCGGCCCUCGGGCUCCGGACGCUGGAUCCUUCUGGGACCUGAACCCGCAAACCCCGGCUCCCCACCCCCAGGCCCGCAGACGCC
RNAcentral lists this long non-coding RNA (343 nucleotides) under Aotus nancymaae (Ma's night monkey). RNAcentral's name for it is "lncRNA (ENSANAG00000039057.1)". Lineage: Eukaryota; Metazoa; Chordata; Mammalia; Primates; Aotidae. The record is from RNAcentral.